Molecule: long non-coding RNA, 9560 nt
Filed under: Canis lupus familiaris (dog)
Lineage: Eukaryota; Metazoa; Chordata; Mammalia; Carnivora; Canidae
Description: lncRNA (ENSCAFG00000056615.1)
Source: RNAcentral
GGCCUUGGAAAGGGUCACAAGUUCCAACUGUUGGUGGUUCUUGCCAUGCAGCACGGUGAAAACACAAUGCUCUCCAGCUCUACCGUUACCACUAAUAUAAGUAAUGUUUGUAAAAUUGUUACCUAAUAAACUAUUUGAGUCAGUAAAAAAUAAAUAAAUAUUAACUGAUAAUUACAAUCUUUAGCAUUUGUAUUCAGAUUCACUAUUUACCAUGUGCUUUCAAAGUGCAUUACCUUAGUGGCUCUCAACCCUGGCUGUUCCUCAGAAUUACUUGUAUGUGUUGUUAAGAUCACCAAUACUUAGAACCCAGACCAGCAGAUUCUGACUCAGUAGGUCAAGAAUGGUAUUUUUAAGCAGCUUCAUGGACGAUUUUGAAUUGCAGUCAGGAUUGAGAACCAUGGCUUUCUGUCAUUUGUUUUUCCACAGUGCUCCUGGAAAAAAAGGUUUUAUUUAUACCCCCAUGAGCUUUCACUCCCUUAUGCAUAGGUGCUUUUUCUGAGGCACUUCUUUGAGGAUCCCUUCCCUAACCACACCUUCUUUUCACUCAGUUACCACAGAGGCAGAUCCAAAAUGUAAAUGAGGACCUUGAGCAUAUAUCUCUGAUCUGUCAUCCUACUGUGCUGUACUUUUUUUUUGUUAUUUUUUUUUAAAUUACUGUUGCUUAUUUGGUUGCUUUUGAGCUCCUUAAGAACAUGAAGGGUGAAUAGUGUGAAUUGUAUCUAUUCACCCUUUCCUUUUAAGAAUACUGGAGCACCAGUGUGGUGCAGUCAGUUGAACACCUAACUCUUGGUUUCAGCUUGGGUCAUGAUCUCAGAGUCAUGGGAUCAAGCCCCGUAUCAGGCUAUGUGCUCAGUACGAGGUCUGCUUAGGACUGUCUCUCCCUCUCCUUCUGCCCCUCCCCUGUGAUCUCUUGUCUCUCCCUCUCCCUCUGCCCCUCCCCUGUGAUUUCUCUCUCUCUAAAAUAAAUAAAUCUUUUUUUAAAAAAGAAUACAUUCUAUUACUUAGACAUGAUAGGAUUAAAAUUAAUAACAAUAAUAAUGCAUUCUGCUUACUAUAUCCUGAGUACUAUCUUCUGCAUUGUAUAUGUAUGAUGGAUUGAUUUAACCUCCAUGCAAAUUAUAUGAGGCAGAUGAGGUAAGUACUGUUGUGUUUCUUAUUUUACAGAUGAGGAAACUGGAGAAGAAAGAAAGUCUGAAACCUAAGGUUAUUUCAUCUGUUUAAUGGAGUUGUUUAUAGCAUAAAUGAAAAUUCUUUUCAUUUCACAGAGGAGAUCAUUGAAACUCUUCCUAUCACAUCAGUGUGGACCAUUUUUUAUACUAUGGCUUAGAUACUUGCUCUUUAUUACAAUAUCUGGAGUUUGGGGGAUUCUUUGGGUUCAGUGUACCCUGUGUGUAAUACUUCUUCUACACUGUGCUAUUAUUUCUGUUAAACGGGGGCAGCAGAAGAUACCAGCUGAACCACUGCAGUGCAUGUACUUCCAGUUGAAAACAGUUGAUGUUAAAGGAGCACUGCCAACCAUCUGUUGACAGACUGAUUUGCCACUGAAAAAAAUGGAGUGCAUUUGUUCCAUUUCUAGAUUAUUUAAAAAUAAGGAGCAAUGGGAGUUAUUAAGUUGGGCAAUCUGAGUUCUAAGUAGCAUUUAUACACUUUUUUUUUUCCUGGAUGCCUUCCUUAAAAUUAAAUUUUUAAUAACCUUUAAGCCUUGCAGCCUUGAGGGAAUAAUUUCUUUCACAGUAGUUCAAAGGUUUAAUUUCACAGUAAAGCUUUUGAAAUAUGGUAUUAUCCCUUUUGUUCUAGAAAAUUACUGUUUAAAAAAAUCAUAUUUCAAAGUAAUGAUUGUAAUGAGAAAAAGAUAUGAGGCCCAACUUCAAAAGGAAAAAAUGAUAACCUCGCCUGUGAUGUCCUCUAGUGAGCCUUUCCCUCGUGGAUUCUAAUUUGUAACAGUUCGAAAAAUCUCUGGAAUUGCACAGUUUCUGCCUGGUAAUACAGCCUGGGGUUGGCUUUGGUCUAACAGUGAGGAGGAGGGGUUGAUAUAGACAUAACGGAAGCCAUUAACUUUCUUAUAUGGGUAAAAUUCAGUAUGUCUUCAGUCCUGCUGUGUGUGUGUUUUCUGUAAUGCUAUUCCCAAACAAUGUUAUCUUGGUAGUUCUAAUGCCAUUUUUGUGGACAUUAAAGUUGAGUGUGGAGUUGCAGAGUGGGCAGUGGGAACUGCCAAGUGUAGCAGAGCCUGACAGGGAAAGGAAAAGAGAUGCAGAACACCUAGCAUGUGCAAGACACUCUAUUCUGGGCUUUACAUGUGUUGUAUUUUUUUUUUUUUUGAUCUUCAUGACAGCUCUUUGAGAUAAAUAGCCCACACCCUAUUAGCCCCCUUUUACUGAUGUUAAGGCCUCAUUCUAUAUGAGAUGAUACUCACCCAGUCUAAUUACUUUAAGAAUCAAAGUCCUCACUGCAACUUCCAUUUAGAGCUCCUUGGCCUAUUUAUAAUUUUAUAAAUGCAUUCAAAGGAUUUUUUAAGUUGUAAAUUCAUAAAGAUAUGAAAAGUUUAAUGAAGAAAGACUCAUAUAAUGAGAAAUAUAUAUAUGCAGGGUAGACUUCGAACUGUAUGUUUCCAGAAUUAAAAACAACGAUAAACUAUUGCUAGUUAUUAAAGGAUUGAAACAAAAGGAAAUCUUGGGUAGUAGGGACACUGGAUGAGAUCUCAAAAUACAUGCAUGUAAUUUCUAAGGCUGUAAACUCUGGGACAAUCACUGAAAUCCUCCUAGCCUCAAUUUCUGCAUCUAAGAAAUGGGCACAAAAGAUGUAAAAUGCUUCCCUCAAGUGAUAAAAAGGAUAAGGAUAUGAAAAAGCUUUCUAAACUAUCAUCUCUCUUGCUAAAUGCACCCAUGGCCAUUCAUGCUGUAGCUCUGUGUAUGCAUGUGUCUGAUUAUGGGUUUUUUAGAUGUUUCCAGCACAGUAUUUGCCAUGCUUUAUUGCAAUAAUGUAUUUAGAUAUUUUUCCCACAAACAUACUCUAAGAUCUUUAGGGCAGAGAUUGUACUUGUUCAUCAUAUUUAUCACAUAGUAUAUAUUCAGCUACCUACUUAAAAUUUAAUACUGCAUUCCUAUUUAUGCAUUCACACAUCUAUUCAAUUAGUAUGAAUAUCUAAGUGCCAGAUAAUCAUUAGAAUGGCAUCAAUUUAAUCUAGGAGCUUUCUGAAAUAACUUAUUGAAUGAAUUAUGGAAGUGUGGGCCAUAGAUCAUAAUACCAUAAACUUUAUUCUUGUUAUUUCCUGUAUGCCCUUUAAACUUUGGUAAAUAUAAUAACAGUAGCUAACUUUUAUUGAAUGCAUGCUACUCAUCAUGCUGUAUGAUAAGUAGUCUGCAUGUGUUAUCUCACUGAUACCUCCCAAUAAAUAAAAAAGUACUGGUUAAAGAAAAGAAAGAAAGAAAGAAAACUACAGGUUGAAAAUGGUGUCACUUAGACUAGAGUCUUCAAACCAGGGCUUCAUAUUCAAUCUAACUGCAGUUUCAACCUCCCCCAGAAAUGUGAUCUUAACCAGUCAAGAAAUGUUUUUGUUUUUGUUCUUUUCCAUCAUCAACUAUGAGUCUGUCACCUGGGUCCUCUCCAUUCACCAAAGAAAGAUGAGGUAAUCUGCAAGAUAAGACACCUUGCUUUUUUCCCUAGCCAACAGCCUCCUCUGAAAAAUCCUUUUCUUGUGCUAACAACUUUCUUGCUCUACCCUCAGUCUAUAAAAAAUCUUCCAUUUUGUACAACUCCUGAGAGUGCCUCUUCCCUACAUGUUAGGUGGGGUUUUGCCCAAUUCAUAAAUCACUGAAUAAAGCCAAUUAGAAACUCAAAUUUACUUGGGUGAAUUUUAUUAUUCAAUAGUACUAUCAUUAUAAAUAUUUAGGAAACUCAGGUUUGGAUAGGUUAAGUAAUUUGUUCAGGGUCACAGUAAAUAUUGAUAUCAAGAUUCAAAACUAGAUCUUUCCAAUUAAUUUAUUCAACAAAUCUUCAUUGCAUUCUUACUAUGUGCCAGGUGCUAUGCUACUUACUGGGAAUACAGUGGUGAAUAAGGACACAGCGCUUAUGAUUUGUGGACUUACUGCCUAGUAGUAAAAGAAAGAUUAACCAUAGAAAUAUGUGAUUAACUAAUUAAUUAUAAUUCUUAUAUAAGUUUUCUUUAGAUAUUUAAACUGACAGCUAUAAAAUCCAAUGGUCUUUGGAUCUUACAGAACAGUCUUAUUCUUUUCUCUACAACAGAAUGGUCUUUUUAUACUCUAAACAUGUGGAGAAAUUUUCUCCUUUCUGAUAGAUACCUUAUGGAGAUGGGGCAGGUGGUCUUUUAUUCUCUUCAUGCUCAAGGAGUCAUUUACCAUAACUAAUCUCCUACUUUGUCCUGAUAUUUUCAGCCAAUAAUUUAGAUCUUCAUGUUUACAUUCAAUUUGAAAAUACCACAGAACUAUAAUGCAUGGGGGGCAGGUAGUGGCCAUUGGAUAAUAUUUUCUCAAAUAGCCAAAAGGCCUGGAGAUUGGCUUCCAGUAGCCACCUGAAAGCAAUGAAUUAUUUUUUGGUGGUAGAACUGGGACACAUAUAUUGAUAUACUUCAACCUUGUAGCACCUUCAACUUAGUCUGUCCCAUAAUUCCUUUUCUCUGGACCAAGAGGCUCAGUUGAAUACAUUUAAACAUAUGAGUGGAGUAAAUUUCUAUGAUCUUUAUUAAAGAGUAAGUAGUUAUGGGUUUUUUUUAAUUUUUAUUUAUUUAUGAUAGUCACAGAGAGAGAGAGAGAGGCAGAGACACAGGCAGAGGGAGAAGCAGGCUCCAUGCACUGGGAGCCCGAUGUGGGAUUCGAUCCCGGGUCUCCAGGAUCACGCCCUGGGCCAAAGGCAGGCACUAAACCGCUGUGCCACCCAGGGAUCCCAGUUAUGGUUUAAUAAAAAAAUGUGUAUUUGGUCUUUGUCCCUGGUUCCUGGCACAGAGUUCCUAAACUCUUUGGAAUUUCCUGAGCGAUAAGAGUGACUUCUAUCAUUUAUAACAAAUCCCUUUUGACUAUAUCAGAGUUUAUGCUAAUGAGGUAACUCUUGCAGGGCCCCUUGAUAGCUUCAAGAUGGGUUCCAGAGGAAGCAAUCACAUGAUUAGAGGGUUAAAACUAUCAGCUCCAUCUGACCUCCAACCUCUGAGGAACUGAGAAGGGUUGAAUAUUAAAUUCAAUCACAACUGGCCAAUGAUUUAAUCAAUCAUGUCUAUGUAAUGAAACCAUUAAAACCUCUGAAACAAUGAGAUUUGAGGGAGCGUCCAGGUUGAUGAAUGGAGGGUUGCAGGAACUCCUGAAUUUGUAGCAAGCUAGGCAGUAUAGGUAGCCUAGCGACCCCAUUUGCUGCUGAUUUCUAAUGUAUAGGCAGUCUUGUGGAAUUGAGCCCUUAACCCUUGGCGUCUGUACUAAUUCCAGGUAGAUAGUGUCGGAAUUGAAUCACAUUGCAGGACACCUAGUUGAUGUAAGAGGAUGGGAAAACUUAUUGAUGUUGGAAUGAUGUAUCUGAAUUGUUUUGAAAGAACACAUGAUGGUACUAGGAGUUUAACUCGGUUAUACCAAAGGGCUAUGACCUUAAAGGCCUUGAAUUUUGGUUUUGCCAUUUAGAAUGUGUGUAACCUUGGGCAGGUCACCUAAUUUCUUUGUUUUGCUAUCCAUAAAACUGAAAAAUUCAUAACAAUAUUUUUUUAAAGAUUCAGUUAGUUACUGUAAAUAUUGGCUUUUUCUCAGUAGCUGCCGCCUAGUAAGUAGUCAUUUUUUAAUUUUACUGUCUCUUCUUUUCCUUUCCCUCAAUUUAAGUUCUAGAACAGACUACUUCAUAUUAGCCCAGAAAUCCAGUAUUGUUCUAGUUACACUUACUUUACUCCAGAAAUUUCAGUAUCUUUCUAACAAUUGAGUUUCUCAGGCAAUGUACAGCUGAGGGUCAGACCAUGUGUCAGGCAAUGUGUCCCAGUUUGGGGUUUGUGAAAUAUAGUCACUACUUUAGACUAUGUGGUGAUUAAAAUGCAGGAGACAGUGCAAAAGACGCUACUGAAUUCAUUAACAUUUACAACAUAUUAGCUAUGGGAUUAUUUCCAGGGGCAGGAGGCAGGAAAGGAGAGGUAGAACAUUUGCUUCUAAUAGGAGAUGGGGGUACCUUUAAGGUUUAACCACUAAAGUUCUAACAAACCAGCUUCUCUGAUAAGGCGGACCAGCCGGCCUCCGCGUAUUUUGCAAUUUUCAGUACACAGUUCCACUUUCACACUUCAAUAAUUCAUUUUCUAGCACUUAGAAUCCAGAAACCUGCUUUCAAUGAUGUACCUAAAAUGUAAGGAACAGAGUUUAAUAACCAACAUCUCCACUUAUCUCAUCUCAUUCCCCAGUAAAUUGUGUUGGAAAACAUGUGUAAAUAGUACCAAGCAAAACAGGGCAUUUAUGGUCUCCUUUAGAGUGUGUUCUAUUUGAAUUCUAGAUUUAGUGACUUUUAUAGAGGUAACCAUUUUCCAUAACAAAACUGCAAAACUUUCUAAAAUGAAAAUUCUAAUACUAUCAUAGAAUUGUAGAAUCUUCAGACUUAGAUUCAAAUAGAACUAACAUAUGUGAAGCAUCCAAUUUGUCCUUGUAGUAUUCUGAAUGGUUUCAAUCUCUCUGUGGCAGAUAUUAUCAGUCUCAUUUUAUAGACAAGGUGUCUUAGACUAGUAGAGGUUAAAUUAUUUUCCUGAGGUUGGAGUUGAAAUAGAGUUUGGAGAAAUCCAAAUAGGCUUGAAUGCUUCCCAUAAUGAUGAAGUAACUACUAACUUUACUUUUUAGGAAAUAAGUCUGAAGGUUAAAAUUAUCAUUAAACAUUCCAGAAGUCGCUUCCACCACCAGGAGAAACACUCUUAGGGGAUAGCCACGGUUUGCAUUUCAGAUACUUUCUCAUGUUCAAAUAUUGAGCCAUCAUUGGAGAUGUCAAAUAAAUAAUCCUCUAAAAAGGUCCUCUUUCCAAUGAUCUUAAACUUUAGAACACUAAAAUAAAUAUCUGACAACAUAUGAGGUGUUCUUCAAGUCCGUGGGUGCCAUAUACCCUAUUAGAUAUUUUGUUUUACAAAGAAACUGAGAGUUAUUUAUGGAGCAGUUUAUUUAGUGAUACUUAGAUACAGUAGGCAACAAUGAUAAUUCAGUGUGGUUGGUAGCCAACAUAGCUCUAAAGUAAUCCAGUGGUAUUACUGCCAGGUUAAGAAAUUAAGACCGCUAUCCACAUAAGCUUGAACUCUGAAAGCCACCAAUAUUUAACAGGCUUGUAACAAAACUUUCAUCACUGUGUCUCCAAUGAUUUAAAGGUGAUAUUAAGGUACAUGGGCUAUCUCAUGAAUAUCAAGAAUGUUAUUCAUGAUGCAGUCUUUGUAAAUCAUUAUUUGGUAUUAAUGCAAAUAACAACUGCAAUAAUAAUAGCUAACAAUUAGUAAGCAGUCUCUUUGUGUUAGACACUCUGAUAGUUAAUUUACAUAUUUUAAUAUUUCAUCUCCAGACAGCAUAUAAACAUUGUCAAGGUCUGCCAUAGUCUCACAAUUUUAUAGAUGAGGAAACCCAAGCUCAGAAAAGUGAAGAUAUUCAGCUAGCAAGGACCUGAGCUAAGACCCAAACCCAAGUAUGUUUGGCACUAAGGGCAGAGCUUCAAUUCAAGUUUUGAAUAUCUGAAAAGAUCAGAGCAGACUGCAGUAUAAUAAAGAAGUGCCAAACAGAGCUCUUCAUUAGAUAUUCAGCAGAUUAAUAACCUAAAACAUGGACUGUGACAUCAAUGACAAUCUGACCACCAAAGAUUUAUGCUUCCUUUUGAUAAUAUAUGAAGUCAGCCACAGACUACCUUUUGUGAGCUCCCCUGAAUCUAGAACCAGGUCUGAUUUCUGACCAAGUAAUAUUGAUGGAAGAGAUAACACUUCCAAGCCUCCUCAACCUCUUGAAUAAUGUCUCACUCUUUCUCUUUUCUUUAUACUAGUUGCCUGUCGAAAUCCAAGAUGAUCUUGGAAGCCAAAUGUUGAAAGGACAGAAUGUCGUUAGGUUAAGUCCUUCCAGCACAGUAAUUGUCCUCUAUUCCCACCUUAUGCUGAUUGGUCUCUGGGUGAAUGAGAAAUAACCUCUAUGGGAUCAAACUACUGAGAUGUAGGACCUUAUCUUUUAGUUUGUGAUAACUAAUACAUAUUACUAGAUAUGUAUAAUAUUUUCAAUAAUGUGGUCAAUCAGAUUUAAAUAAAUCAAUCUUAUAGAAGAGUGAAAUAUUAUAAUAGUUCCUUUUCUGUUUUAGCAAAGAAUUUUAACUUCGGUUAAAGACUGAAGAGAAAAGAAGUGUUAUUUUGGAAAGCUGAAUGGCUGCACCUUUUGCUGGUGCUUCACAGAACUACUAGUUUUAAUAAGAAUCACUCAUUCUCAGAGUUCUUGAGGACAGAAAGAAGAGUUUGUUUUGGUGGUAAGAGAUGAAGUAAAAUACCAAAGAAAACGAUAAUACAUCAUAAUGAUACUAUGCUGUUUUCAGCUAAAAAUCAGGAACAUUUUGAGUAAAACCUAAAAAGUCAAAGUUAACUAUACAAACGAAUCUCUCUGUGUGUCUCUUUUCUGUUUCUCUUUCUUAUCCCUUGAAUAUAGAUUAAAAAAAUGUUGACCCUGAUAGGAAUAAUGCCUAACAUCUAUCGCUAACCUUUUUUACUUUGAAAGAGUACUGCUACAUAGAAUGCUAUCACAAUGACCUUCACAAAAGCACCAUAACAUAAGCAUUAUUUUAUCUACUUCACAGUUAGGGAAAUAAACUCAGAAUGAUUACACAAAAUAUCUAUGGUCCUAUGGCAGGUAUGGAUGGGAACUAGGGCACAACUAUUUAGUUAUCCUCCUCUACUAGCCCAUGAUACUUCAGAUUUCCAUCUCCAACAACCUGCUACCUAUUUUCACCUGUGACUGUGCAAUUUGAUUAUCAAGCUGCCCCUACUUAGCCACUCUGAAGAAUUUGUCUCUGCUGGACAUCCCUUCUUUUGGCUUACCCAGCACCAUCAUCUUCUUGUUUCCUUCUUAACUGUGCCUAAUCCUGGGCUUCCUUGCCCUGCCCUGAAGACUUGAUCUACUGCACUUAUUACUGGGAGAAUUUCAGUUCUCAGUUCCCCACGUGGUUUCUCAACACAUGAAAAAAUGUUCUCCAAUAGAGCAUUGUUACGGAAUUUAUGUUCAGGGCUCAUAUAUUCCUAGAGAAGAAACACAUUUUAUUCUUUAUGAAAAUCUGUAUUUUAUGUUGCACACUUAUGCAAAGAACAUGUUCUAUAUAAAUCUUACAAAUGAAAAUGUGAAUGUGAACAUGCAAAUGUGGUAACAACUGUGAAUUGAGAUAUAAAUAGAGGAGUCAAAUACAUGAAACGUUUCUUCAAGGCAGGAAAAAUAGAUCAAGGGAGACAAAAAGAUUUGCUUCAGUGCUUGGGACCUUGUUUUCUGCCAAAGUCAAGGAAUAUAAACAACAAUAUUGACUUUGUAAGGUCAAAGUUACUGGGUUUUAUACAAAAUGACUGCAGUGGAAGGAAUAUUUUUUGAUGUACAUAAAAAAAAGAAAAA